RNAcentral lists this non-coding RNA (25 nucleotides) under Cricetulus griseus (Chinese hamster). The record is from RNAcentral. Lineage: Eukaryota; Metazoa; Chordata; Mammalia; Rodentia; Cricetidae.
CCAGUUGGCAGCAGACUGUUCCUCC